AUACAGAGGGUGCAAGCGUUACUCGGAAUCACUGGGCGUAAAGCGCGCGCAGGCGGCUAUUUAAGUUGGAUGUGAAAGCCUAUGGCUCAACCAUAGAACUGCAUCCAAAACUAUUUAGCUAGAGUGUGGGAGAGGAAGAUGGAAUUAGUUGUGUAGGGGUAAAAUCCGUAGAGAUAACUAGGAAUACCAAAAGCGAAGGCAAUCUUCUGGAACACUACUGACGCUGAGGCGCGAAAGCGUGGGGAGCAAACGGGAUUAGAAACCCUAGUAGUCC
Molecule: ribosomal RNA, 274 nt
Filed under: uncultured bacterium
Lineage: Bacteria
Description: partial 16S ribosomal RNA
Rfam family: Bacterial small subunit ribosomal RNA
Source: RNAcentral